RNAcentral lists this ribosomal RNA (468 nucleotides) under uncultured bacterium. RNAcentral describes it as "partial 16S ribosomal RNA". It matches the Rfam family "Bacterial small subunit ribosomal RNA", at positions 28 to 507 of the family's 1533-position model. The record is from RNAcentral.
GACGAACGCUGGCGGCGUGCUUAACACAUGCAAGUCGAACGGAAAGGCCCUGCUUUUGUGGGGUGCUCGAGUGGCGAACGGGUGAGUAACACGCGAGUAACCUGCCCUUGACUUUGUGAUAACUUCAGGAAACUGGGGCUAAUACCGGAUAGGAGCUCCUGCUGCAUGGUGUGGGUUGGAAAGUUUCGGCGGUUGGGGAUGGACUCGCGGCUUAUCAGCUUGUUGGGGGGGUAGUUGCUUACCAAGGCUUUGACGGGUAGCCGGCCUGAGAGGGUGACCGGCCACAUUGGGACUGAGAUACGGCCCAGACUCCUACGGGAGGCAGCAGUGGGGAAUAUUGCGCAAUGGGCGGAAGCCUGAUGCAGCAACGCCGGGUGCGGGAUGACGGCUUUCGGGUUGUAAACCGCUUUCGCCUGUGACGAAGCGUGAGUGACGGUAAUGGGUAAAGAAGCAACGGCUAACUACGUG